AGUAAUGUAUGGGGAUCUGCCCGAUAGAGGGGGAUAACUACUGGAAACGGUGGCUAAUACCGCAUAACGUCUACGGACCAAAGCAGGGGCUCUUCGGACCUUGCACUAUCGGAUGAACCCAUAUGGGAUUAGCUAGUAGGUGGGGUAAAGGCUCACCUAGGCGACGAUCUCUAGCUGGUCUGAGAGGAUGAUCAGCCACACUGGGACUGAGACACGGCCCAG
This 222-nucleotide ribosomal RNA is filed under the name uncultured bacterium. Its description in RNAcentral is "partial 16S ribosomal RNA". It matches the Rfam family "Bacterial small subunit ribosomal RNA", at positions 109 to 334 of the family's 1533-position model. The record is from RNAcentral.